GUCUCAUCAAGAAGUUCGAACUAGAAGCCGCAAAUUAUCAAGAUGCUGAAGGUUGCCGCAUUCUUAGUUGUCGGCUACUUUGGGCUUACACACUGUCAAGACUGGUCUGAUUCUUACAUGGAAGCGUAUAGGGAAUCGCAUCGAGGUGAACAUCACAAGGCUAAAGAAGACGAAUUUUUUGACAUGUCGCAAUUUGACUUUCAAUUGGCGACGAUAAAACCAAUUUUCACUGUUGUGUCGGCUAUUGCGAAAAUCCUAUUGAAAGUUGCAGUUUUUAAAAUUAUAGUCAAGUUCGCUGCUAUCGUAUGUCUUCUGUUUUUUAUCCCUUGGGUUAAGCUUCCUGAAAUGGUUCACAAUGAAAUGCCAGAAACAAGGAGUCUAAAACAAAUCUAUUUUGACGAACUUAUUGAUAACCAAACAAAAAAAUUUGAACGAUGAUAGUGAAUAUAUUUUUGAUCUCCAUGAUCCAUGAAAUAAGUUCAAUUUGUGUCACAUGAUGGCCAUCACUGUAAAUAAUAAUUAGUGAAUUAUAGCUACGACCAAAUAAAUAAAUCACUCUAAUGCUAUUUUUCAAGAAAAUAGUGUUUAUACUAGAUAAGUUUUGUUAUUUAAAUGUGCUGACCAGUACAGCUAUCGGUCAUAAAUGUUGAAACAACAAGAAAAUUCUAACUCUU
Molecule: long non-coding RNA, 674 nt
Organism: Cimex lectularius (bed bug)
Lineage: Eukaryota; Metazoa; Arthropoda; Insecta; Hemiptera; Cimicidae
Exons: 4
Source: RefSeq, a predicted model, not a curated record